RNAcentral lists this ribosomal RNA (255 nucleotides) under Shigella sonnei. RNAcentral's name for it is "partial 16S ribosomal RNA". It matches the Rfam family "Bacterial small subunit ribosomal RNA", at positions 582 to 836 of the family's 1533-position model. Lineage: Bacteria; Pseudomonadati; Pseudomonadota; Gammaproteobacteria; Enterobacterales; Enterobacteriaceae. The record is from RNAcentral.
GUUAAGUCAGAUGUGAAAUCCCCGGGCUCAACCUGGGAACUGCAUCUGAUACUGGCAAGCUUGAGUCUCGUAGAGGGGGGUAGAAUUCCAGGUGUAGCGGUGAAAUGCGUAGAGAUCUGGAGGAAUAUCGGUGGCGAAGGCGGCCCCCUGGACGAAGACUGACGCUCAGGUGCGAAAGCGUGGGGAGCAAACAGGAUUAGAUACCCUGGUAGUCCACGCCGUAAACGAUGUCGACUUGGAGGUUGUGCCCUUGAG